GAUGAACGCUGACAGAAUGCUUAACACAUGCAAGUCAUUGGCGAAGCUGCGCUUGCGCAGUCUAGCCAAGGCGGACGGGUGAGUAACGCGUAAGGAACUUGCCCUGCAGACAGGGAUAACAGACGGAAACGACUGAUAACACCUGGUAUUGUCAGGCUGGCGCAUGCCGGCCUGAUGAAAGGAGACGCUGCAGGAGAGCCUUGCGUCCUAUUAGCUAGUUGGUGGGGUAACGGCCCACCAAGGUGAUGAUAGGUAGCCGGCCUGAGAGGGUGAACGGCCACAAGGGGACUGAGAUACGGCCCUUACUCCUACGGGAGGCAGCAGUGGGGAAUAUUGGACAAUGGGGGCAACCCUGAUCCAGCAAUUCUGUGUGCACGAAGAAGGUUUUCGGAUUGUAAAGUGCUUUCAGCAGGGAAGAAGAAAGUGACGGUACCUGCAGAAGAAGCGACGGCUAAAUACGUG
Molecule: ribosomal RNA, 462 nt
Filed under: uncultured bacterium
Lineage: Bacteria
Description: partial 16S ribosomal RNA
Rfam family: Bacterial small subunit ribosomal RNA
Source: RNAcentral